This 71-nucleotide transfer RNA is filed under the name Ictidomys tridecemlineatus (thirteen-lined ground squirrel). RNAcentral describes it as "Spermophilus tridecemlineatus (thirteen-lined ground squirrel) tRNA". It matches the Rfam family "tRNA". Rfam says of the family: Transfer RNA (tRNA) molecules are approximately 80 nucleotides in length. Their secondary structure includes four short double-helical elements and three loops (D, anti-codon, and T loops). The record is from Rfam by way of RNAcentral. Lineage: Eukaryota; Metazoa; Chordata; Mammalia; Rodentia; Sciuridae.
GGACAUAGCUCAGUUGGCAGAGUGCUUGCCUUGCAUGCACAAGGCCCUGGGUUCAAUGCCCAGCAUGACCA